GACGAACGCUGGCGGCGUGCCUAAUACAUGCAAGUAGAACGCUGAAGGAGGAGCUUGCUUCUCUGGAUGAGUUGCGAACGGGUGAGUAACGCGUAGGUAACCUGCCUGGUAGCGGGGGAUAACUAUUGGAAACGAUAGCUAAUACCGCAUAAUAGUAGAUGUUGCAUGACAUUUGCUUAAAAGUUGCAAUUGCAUCACUACCAGAUGGACCUGCGUUGUAUUAGCUAGUUGGUGGGGUAACGGCUCACCAAGGCGACGAUACAUAGCCGACCUGAGAGGGUGAUCGGCCAAACUGGGACUGGGAAACGGCCCAGACUCCUACGGGAGGCAGCAGUAGGGAAUCUUCGGAAAUGGACGGAAGUCUGGCCGAGCAAAGCCGCGUGAGUGGAGAAGGUUUUCGGAUCGUAAAGCUCUGUUGUAAGAGAAGAAAGAGUGUGAGAGUGGAAAGUUCACACUGUGACGGUAUCUUACCAGAAAGGGACGGCUAACUACGUG
RNAcentral lists this ribosomal RNA (495 nucleotides) under uncultured bacterium. Its description in RNAcentral is "partial 16S ribosomal RNA". It matches the Rfam family "Bacterial small subunit ribosomal RNA", at positions 28 to 507 of the family's 1533-position model. The record is from RNAcentral.